UACGUAGGGGGCAAGCGUUGUCCGGAUUUAUUGGGCGUAAAGAGCGUGUAGGCGGCUAGGUAGGUCCGUUGUGAAAACUCGAGGCUCAACCUCGAGACGCCGAUGGAAACCAUCUGGCUAGAGUCCGGAAGAGGAGAGUGGAAUUCCUGGUGUAGCGGUGAAAUGCGCAGAUAUCGGGAGGAACACCAAUGGCGAAGGCAGCUCGCUGGGACGUUACUGACGCUGAGACGCGAAAGCGUGGGGAGCAAACAGG
This 253-nucleotide ribosomal RNA is filed under the name uncultured bacterium. RNAcentral's name for it is "partial 16S ribosomal RNA". It matches the Rfam family "Bacterial small subunit ribosomal RNA", at positions 524 to 776 of the family's 1533-position model. The record is from RNAcentral.